This 453-nucleotide ribosomal RNA is filed under the name Phyllidiopsis krempfi. RNAcentral describes it as "partial large subunit ribosomal RNA". The stretch from base 1 to 192 matches the Rfam family "Archaeal large subunit ribosomal RNA", at positions 1922 to 2143 of the family's 2987-position model. Lineage: Eukaryota; Metazoa; Mollusca; Gastropoda; Nudibranchia; Phyllidiidae. The record is from RNAcentral.
UAGGAAAAUAAAUCUAAAGUUAAACCUGCCCAGUGUAGAAAUUUAAUAAUUAUAAAUGGCCGCGGUACUUUGACCGUGCUAAGGUAGCGCAAUCAAUUGGCUUUUAAAUGGAGUCAGGUAUGAAUGGGAUCACGGAGUUUAGCUGUCUCUAAAUUAAUUUAUUGAAAUUACUAUGUAGGUGAAAAAGCCUAUAGAAAGAAAAAGGACGAGAAGACCCUUAGAGUUUUAGUUUAAAGUAAAAUAAUUUUUUUAUAAUAAUUUAGUUGGGGCAACAUAGGAACAAUAACAGUAUUAUAACUUCCUUAAUAUAUCUAUUUACCGAUUUUUAUAAAAUUGAAUAAACUACCUUAGGGAUAACAGCAUAAUUUAAUGUAUAAGUUUGUGACCUCGAUGUUGGACUAGGAAAUUGAAAGGUUAGCCGCUUUUUAAGAAGGUUCUGUUCGAACUAGAUAU